AUUGAACGCUGGCGGCAGGCCUAACACAUGCAAGUCGAGCGGAUGAAGGGAGCUUGCUCCUGGAUUCAGCGGCGGACGGGUGAGUAAUGCCUAGGAAUCUGCCUGGUAGUGGGGGAUAACGUCCGGAAACGGGCGCUAAUACCGCAUACGGCCUGAGGGAGAAAGUGGGGGAUCUUCGGACCUCACGCUAUCAGAUGAGCCUAGGUCGGAUUAGCUAGUUGGUGGGGUAAAGGCCUACCAAGGCGACGAUCCGUAACUGGUCUGAGAGGAUGAUCAGUCACACUGGAACUGAGACACGGUCCAGACUCCUACGGGAGGCAGCAGUGGGGAAUAUUGGACAAUGGGCGAAAGCCUGAUCCAGCAAUGCCGCGUGUGUGAAGAAGGUCUUCGGAUUGUAAAGCACUUUAAGUUGGGAGGAAGGGCAGUAAGUUAAUACGUUGCUGUUUUGACGUUACCAACAGAAUAAGCACCGGCUAACUUCGUG
This 484-nucleotide ribosomal RNA is filed under the name uncultured bacterium. RNAcentral's name for it is "partial 16S ribosomal RNA". It matches the Rfam family "Bacterial small subunit ribosomal RNA", at positions 30 to 507 of the family's 1533-position model. The record is from RNAcentral.